RNAcentral lists this ribosomal RNA (497 nucleotides) under uncultured bacterium. RNAcentral describes it as "partial 16S ribosomal RNA". It matches the Rfam family "Bacterial small subunit ribosomal RNA", at positions 28 to 507 of the family's 1533-position model. The record is from RNAcentral.
GACGAACGCUGGCGGCGUGCCUAAUACAUGCAAGUUGAGCGCUGAAGGUUGGUACUUGUCCCCACUGGAUGAGCAGCGAACGGGUGAGUAACGCGUGGGGAAUCUGCCUUUGAGCGGGGGACAACAUUUGGAAACGAAUGCUAAUACCGCAUAAAAACUUUAAACACAAGUUUUAAGUUUGAAAGAUGCAAUUGCAUCACUCAAAGAUGAUCCCGCGUUGUAUUAGCUAGUUGGUGAGGUAAAGGCUCACCAAGGCGAUGAUACAUAGCCGACCUGAGAGGGGGAUCGGCCGCAUUGGGACGGAGUAACGGCCCAAACUCCUACGGGAGGCAGCAGUAGGGAAUCUUCGGCAAUGGACGAAAGUCUGACCGAGCAACGCCGCGUGAGUGAAGAAGGGUUUCGGAUCGUAAAACUCUGUUGGUAGAGAAGAACGUUGGUGAGAGUGGAAAGCUCAUCAAGUGACGGUAACUACCCAGAAAGGGACGGCUAACUACGUG